RNAcentral lists this ribosomal RNA (780 nucleotides) under uncultured Actinomycetaceae bacterium. RNAcentral describes it as "partial 16S ribosomal RNA". It matches the Rfam family "Bacterial small subunit ribosomal RNA", at positions 28 to 777 of the family's 1533-position model. Lineage: Bacteria; Bacillati; Actinomycetota; Actinomycetes; Actinomycetales; Actinomycetaceae. The record is from RNAcentral.
AUUGAACGCUGGCGGCAGGUUAACACAUGCAAGUCGAGCGGGGAAGGGUAGCUUGCUACCUGACCUAGCGGCGGACGGGUGAGUAAUGCUUAGGAAUCUGCCUAUUAGUGGGGGACAACAUUCCGAGAGAAAUGCUAAUACCGCAUACGCCCUACGGGGGAAAGCAGGGGAUCUUCGGACCUUGCGCUAAUAGGUGAGCCUAAGUCAGAUUAGCUAGUUGGUGGGGUAAAGGCCUACCAAGGCGACGAUCUGUAGCGGGUCUGAGAGGAUGAUCCGCCACACUGGGACUGAGACACGGCCCAGACUCCUACGGGAGGCAGCAGUGGGGAAUAUUGGACAAUGGGCGCAAGCGUGAUCCAGCCAUGCCGCGGUGUGUGAAGAAAGGCUUUUUGUUUGCAAAGACUUUUAAGCGAGGGGGGGGGGUACCUUGGGAUUAAAAACCCUAGGAAAGGGGGCCUUUCCUCCCAGAAAAAAAACCCCGGCUAACUUCUUUUCCCCCCACCCCCGGAAAAAACAGAGGGGGGCGAGCGUUAAACCGGAUUUACUGGGCCUAAAACCUGCGUAGGGGGGUUUUUUAAGUCGGGAUGUGAAACCCCUGAGCUUAAAUUUAGGAAAUUGUUUUCGAAACUGGGAAGCUUAGAGUUUUAAAAAAGGGUUUUUGGAAACUCCGAGUUUAGAGGGGGAAAAUUCGAAAAUAUCCGGAAGAAACCCCCGGGGGGAGAGGGAAAACACUGUCUUUUUACUGACGUUAGGCUUCGAAAGGGGGGGGGGGCAAAAAGA